RNAcentral lists this microRNA precursor (141 nucleotides) under Orobanche cernua var. cumana. RNAcentral's name for it is "miR166d". The stretch from base 17 to 127 matches the Rfam family "mir-166 microRNA precursor family". From Rfam's summary of the family: This family represents the plant microRNA (miRNA) precursor mir-166. Animal miRNAs are transcribed as ~70nt precursors and subsequently processed by the Dicer enzyme to give a ~22nt product. Lineage: Eukaryota; Viridiplantae; Streptophyta; Magnoliopsida; Lamiales; Orobanchaceae. The record is from RNAcentral.
AGAAGGGAAGCUUAGCUUUGAGGGGAAUGUUGUCUGGCCCGAUGCCCUUAACAAGAUCUAAUCCUUAAUGUAUAUCGAUAUCAUGAAUCAUGUGUUAGGCGUCGGACCAGGCUUCAUUCCCCCCAACUUCUUGUUCCCUUC